GCUGGGUGUCGUGAAGCAUGCCUGUUGUCCCAGCUUCUGGGGAGGCUAAGGCAGAAAGAUCCCUUGAGCCCAGGUAUUCAGGGCCAGCCGGGGUAAUAUGCUGAGACUCCUUCUUUU
Molecule: small RNA, 117 nt
Filed under: Marmota monax (woodchuck)
Lineage: Eukaryota; Metazoa; Chordata; Mammalia; Rodentia; Sciuridae
Source: RNAcentral